GACGAACGCUGGCGGCGCGCCUAACACAUGCAAGUCGAGCGAUGAAAGUUGUUCAGAUCCUUCGGGUGACGAACUUCUGGAUUAGCGGCGAACGGGUGAGUAACGCGUGAGGAACCUGCCUCUCACAACGGGAUAGCCUCGGGAAACCGGGAUUAAUACCGUAUGACACUAUCAGAUGGCAUCAUCAGGUAGUUAAAGUGCUAGCGGUGAGAGAUGGCCUCGCGUCUGAUUAGUUAGUUGGUGGGGUAACGGCCUACCAAGACGACGAUCAGUAACCGGCCUGAGAGGGUGAACGGUCACAUUGGAACUGAGACACGGUCCAAACUCCUACGGGAGGCAGCAGUGGGGAAUCUUGCACAAUGGGGGAAACCCUGAUGCAGCGACGCCGCGUGAGCGAUGAAGGUUUUCGAAUCGUAAAGCUCUGUCCUAUGGGAAGAUAAUGACGGUACCAUAGGAGGAAGCCCCGGCUAACUACGUGCCAGCAGCCGCGGUAAUACGUAGGGGGCGAGCGUUGUCCGGAAUUACUGGGCGUAAAGGGUUCGCAGGCGGCAUGACAAGUCCGAUGUAAAAGGCGAAAGCUCAACUUUCGUAAGCAUCGGAAACUGUCAAGCUUGAGUGAAGGAGAGGCAAGUGGAAUUCCUAGUGUAGCGGUGGAAUGCGUAGAUAUUAGGAGGAAUACCGGUGGCGAAGGCGACUUGCUGGACUUCAACUGACGCUGAGGAACGAAAGCGUGGGUAGCAAACAGG
This 746-nucleotide ribosomal RNA is filed under the name uncultured Peptoniphilus sp. Its description in RNAcentral is "bacterial SSU rRNA". It matches the Rfam family "Bacterial small subunit ribosomal RNA", at positions 28 to 776 of the family's 1533-position model. Lineage: Bacteria; Bacillati; Bacillota; Tissierellia; Tissierellales; Peptoniphilaceae. The record is from RNAcentral.